This 259-nucleotide unclassified non-coding RNA is filed under the name plant metagenome. RNAcentral's name for it is "partial contains small subunit ribosomal RNA, internal transcribed spacer 1, and 5.8S ribosomal RNA". The stretch from base 1 to 54 matches the Rfam family "Eukaryotic small subunit ribosomal RNA", at positions 1778 to 1831 of the family's 1831-position model. The record is from RNAcentral.
GGAAGUAAAAGUCAUAACAAGGUCUCCGUUGGUGAACCAGCGGAGGGAUCAUUACCGAGUUUACAACUCCCAAACCCCAUGUGAACCUUACCAAACGUUGCUUCGGCGGGAUGCCCCGGGCGCGGGCCGCAAGGCCUCAGCCCCGGAACCAGGCGCCCGCCGGAGGCCCAAACCAAACUCUUGUUUUUGUAGAAUCUUCUGAGUGGCCUUUUAGGCAAAAAAUGAAUCAAAACUUUCAACAACGGAUCUCUUGGUUCUG